GGAGAUUUAGCUCAGCGGUAGAGCGCUUGCCUAGCAAGUACAAGGCCCUGGGUUCGGUCCCCAGCUCCA
This 69-nucleotide transfer RNA is filed under the name Rattus norvegicus (Norway rat). It matches the Rfam family "tRNA". From Rfam's summary of the family: Transfer RNA (tRNA) molecules are approximately 80 nucleotides in length. Their secondary structure includes four short double-helical elements and three loops (D, anti-codon, and T loops). The record is from Rfam by way of RNAcentral. Lineage: Eukaryota; Metazoa; Chordata; Mammalia; Rodentia; Muridae.